RNAcentral lists this ribosomal RNA (506 nucleotides) under uncultured bacterium. RNAcentral describes it as "bacterial SSU rRNA". It matches the Rfam family "Bacterial small subunit ribosomal RNA", at positions 29 to 508 of the family's 1533-position model. The record is from RNAcentral.
AACGAACGCUGGCGGCGUGCCUAACACAUGCAAGUCGAGCGGGAAAAUUCCCUUCGGGGAGUGAGUACAGCGGCGAACGGGUGAGUAACACGUAGGUAACCUACCCUGGAGACUGGGAUAACCUGCCGAAAGGCGGGCUAAUACUAGAUAAGACCACGAGAGCCACGGCUCUUGAGGUAAAAGGUGGCCUCUACUUGUACGCUACCACUCUGGGAUGGGCCUGCGCGCCAUUAGCUAGUUGGUGAGGUAACGGCUCACCAAGGCUGAGAUGGCUAGCUGGUCUGAGAGGAUGGCCAGCCACACAGGGACUGAGACACGGCCCAGACUCCUACGGGAGGCAGCAGUGGGGAAUCUUGCGCAAUGGGCGAAAGCCUGACGCAGCGACGCCGCGUGGGUGAUGAAGGCCUUCGGGUCGUAAAGCCCUGUCAAGAGGGACGAAACCUCGUCGACCUAAUACGUCGGCGACUUGACGGUACCUCUGAAGGAAGCACCGGCUAACUCCGUGC